Long non-coding RNA from Gigantopelta aegis, 796 nucleotides. RefSeq lists it as uncharacterized. The transcript has 3 exons. The record is from RefSeq and is a predicted model, not a curated record. Lineage: Eukaryota; Metazoa; Mollusca; Gastropoda; Neomphalida; Peltospiridae.
UGUGAGAAAAGAUCACUGUUUAACAUAACCAUAUUUGUUUUAAAUGUGUAUAAAUAUAAAAUAUCUGUGCAUGAAAUUAUUACUAUUCAAUGGCGAUAUCUAACUACUGUGCGGUUCUGUUGUAAUAUUUUCUGCAAAUGUUGAGUGGAAGGAUCAAUAGAGACACCACUGGAGCUCAUUGAUUUAUUAAUGACAAAAACAUGAUCAGGACCGUAUGUCUGCACAGUGCAGUCGAAUGGGCACUUGGCAAAAGAGUGGUCGAUUCCAUGAGUGCCUGGUCUAUAGGAGGACAGCCACUCCCUAGGAGAUCCUUUACCGCCAAAACGAGGACAGCCACUCCCAGAUUUGUUCAUCUUUCCGUGGAGUGCAUGGCUAGUGUGCUGGGCAGAGGUUUGGUGAAUAAGAUAAGAUGCAUUUAAUUGCAAGUAUGCAUGCAACAUUUUGACUUGACUGGUAUAUCAAAAGCCGUGGUGUGUGCUGUCUUGUAAAAGAUACCUUGCUAUAAUUAUCAGAAUUAUUAAAUGUUUGACAUGAAUAGUAAAUGUGGUCUAGUGGUGUCAUUUAAAGAAGUAUUUUACUUAUUUCCACAUUUGGAGCUGUAUGCCAAACAAAUCUCAAAAUAUCUGGGUUAACGGUGGGUUAUGGAAACAUAUGGGUUAAACCUAAGUUAAACCCUGGGUCAUGUUUACUGUGCAUUUCACGUCUGGCUUUCAAUAACCCUAGUUUAACACUGGAUUACAAUUGUAUCCAUUUAAACCCAUUACAGUAGCGGAUUAAGGAUGGGGGGUCAGGGGGU